RNAcentral lists this ribosomal RNA (484 nucleotides) under Aspidoras cf. poecilus MA96. RNAcentral describes it as "partial 16S ribosomal RNA". It matches the Rfam family "Bacterial large subunit ribosomal RNA", at positions 1850 to 2543 of the family's 2925-position model. The record is from RNAcentral. Lineage: Eukaryota; Metazoa; Chordata; Actinopteri; Siluriformes; Callichthyidae.
AGGUCCUGCCUGCCCAGUGACUAUGUUAAACGGCCGCGGUAUUUUGACCGUGCAAAGGUAGCGCAAUCACUUGUCUUUUAAAUGAAGACCUGUAUGAAUGGUGAAACGAGGGCCUGACUGUCUCCCCUUUCAAGUCAAUGAAAUUGAUCUACCCGUGCAGAAGCGGACAUAUAACUACAAGACGAGAAGACCCUUUGGAGCUUAAGAUUAAAAGUCAACUAUGUCAAAUAUUUAUAAAAUAGAACCAAAUAGCUACUGAUAAUAAUCUUCGGUUGGGGCGACCACGGAAUAAAAAUUAACUUCCACACGGAUUGAGGACUAAUCUUAAAACCAAGAAAGACACUUCUAAGUCACAGAAUUUCUGACCAUACAGAUCCGGCAAAUUGCCGAUCAAUGGACCAAGUUACCCUAGGGAUAACAGCGCAAUCCCCUUUUAGAGUUCCUAUCGACAAGGGGGUUUACGACCUCGAUGUUGGAUCAGGAC